Molecule: long non-coding RNA, 162 nt
Organism: Perognathus longimembris pacificus (Pacific pocket mouse)
Lineage: Eukaryota; Metazoa; Chordata; Mammalia; Rodentia; Heteromyidae
Exons: 3
Source: RefSeq, a predicted model, not a curated record
CAUAGAAUUCUAUUGUGUAUAUAUAACACAUUUUCUUGAUCCAUUCAUCUACUGAGAGGCAUCUGAGUUGGUUCCAUAUCUUAGCUAUGGUAAAUAAUGCUACAAUAAACUUGCUUGUGCUGGUAGGUUUAGUAUGUGCUUGUUUGUGGUCUUUGGGCAAAU